This 459-nucleotide long non-coding RNA is filed under the name Mytilus galloprovincialis (Mediterranean mussel). The record is from RNAcentral. Lineage: Eukaryota; Metazoa; Mollusca; Bivalvia; Mytilida; Mytilidae.
AAUCUUUAUUUAAAGUGUAGUUAUAUUUAUCCAAUGCAUUGAAACUUCAUCACUGAAUACGUACAUCUCGCAUGUCUAUCGAAAUAGAAUGGGAUAAAAGGGAAUAAAAACAACAAUACUUUCUAAUAUUUUUUAUAAAUCACUUCUUGACCAAUUUCAAUAAGGUUUUGAAGUAAGAUUUUUGAUUUUGGGUCCGGUUUUUAAAUUCCCACAGGGUCCAAAAUAACAUUUGAGGUUCUUUGGUAGGCUGAAUCCAUACAUGAUUGUGUUUAUUGUUAUUUUUUUAAUUUUUGGCCCAUUUAACAAGUUUGUGGGGUCCAAACUGUCAAGAAAUAAAUUCUUUUGGAUUUCAACAACAGUUGAAUAUUUGGGGUACUUUGGAAUGCUGAAUCUUACCGUGUUUUUAAAUUUGGGAUUUUGGUAUUUGGGCCAAGUUAUCGAAAUGGUCCACAUUGAGGC